AUAUUUCUAUCUUUUUUCAUUAGCGACCUACUUCAACUCCUACAUGCUAUAUUUCUUACACUUCUACAAUAUUUGAUGAGCUGUAUGAAAUUGUAUCACCGCUACACAGAGUACUCUGGCAAUUUCCCAGGAGCAUUUUGCACUUCGGCUUCAGCGCAGGAAGUGUUUCAAAACAUUUCUGUGUUAAUGCAGACUACAGCUUUAGAAUUUCUCCAGCCCAAAUGCUAACUGAGUCUGAUUCUCCUCAGCUUUUUCAGAUCAACCAGAACAGGUGUGGGGUUAUAACAUCAACCACUCUCCUAUACAGGAUCCCUCAUGGUAUCCUUGCAGAUGUCUCUGGAUCGCAAUGUCACUACAUGCCUCACCUGCCUCACGAAAGAGUUGUACAUAGCAGAGAAACCAGCAAGACUCUUGACUGGAUUGACCUAGCAAGAUCUAUCAUGGCCAAGUGAGAAGGACAUGCAUAAGGAGAUAUGGAGAAGUUCAAAAACUGGUGCUCAAUAACAUCUGCCCCCGAAUAAGGAGAAAAGGAAGAAACUGGGAAUAGUCCUCAUGGUAGGAAGAAGACAAAUUGCUACUCAGUUCAACAUGGGCUGUUUGCAAGUAAGAUACAUCUCUGAAUCCAUCCCAACUUCUUCAGUGAAGGCAAUGUAUUAGGAGUUCUAUCAUUGUUGAAGCAAUCAGGAAUCUGGCAAAUUCAGUCCUCUUGCUAUCGCUUCCAGACACCAGAACAAGACUUCCAUAGCUCAGCUUGCUCAUAUUUUCAUCCUGGAUCAAAUCUUUCAGAAGAUUUUCUUAGCUGUUGUUGGUUACUACGCAUGAUUAAUUUACAACAAAGUUAGAGGCUGUGAAUUAUUUACAAUUAAUUAAUGAACAAAUCCAUUGAGAAACCACUGAUGACAGCAAAAUGAAAUACAACAUUUAAGCAAGUUUGGUUAGAAUAUUUUCGAGAUUUUUUUAAAAAAAACUGAAAGCACUAAAGCCAAAUGGUGGAACUAUUUUCUCCAUCAGUUAGCCCUCAACCACAUUUAAAAGUACUUCCUGGUACUUUUUUUUUGGGGGGGGGUGUCACUUUUAGAUGGAACAACAGGAAAAUUUAAAGAGCUUUCUGGAAAUCCUGCAUCUGAUUAAUAACCAGCUCCUUUCAAAUAAAGAAAUACAUUAAGGGUAAGAGAGAAGCCUGAAAUAAAAUAUUUCAACUCAACUA
This is a long non-coding RNA of Pantherophis guttatus, 1207 nucleotides long. RefSeq lists it as uncharacterized. The record is from RefSeq and is a predicted model, not a curated record. Lineage: Eukaryota; Metazoa; Chordata; Lepidosauria; Squamata; Colubridae.